GAUGAACGCUGGCGGCGUGCUUAACACAUGCAAGUCGAACGAUGAAGCUCAGCUUGCUGGGUGGUUUAGUGGCGAACGGGUGAGUAACACGUGAGUAACCUGCCCUUAACUCUGGGAUAAGCCUGGGAAACUAGGUCUAAUACCGGAUAGGAGCGCCUACCGCAUGGUGGGUGUUGGAAAGAUUUAUCGGUUUUGGAUGGACUCGCGGCCUAUCAGCUUGUUGGUGAGGUAAUGGCUCACCAAGGCGACGACGGGUAGCCGGCCUGAGAGGGUGACCGGCCACACGGGGACUGAGACACGGCCCAGACUCCUACGGGAGGCAGCAGUGGGGAAUAUUGCACAAUGGGCGAAAGCCUGAUGCAGCGACGCCGCGUGAGGGAUGACGGCCUUCGGGUUGUAAACCUCUUUCAGUAGGGAAGAAGCGAAAGUGACGGUACCUGCAGAAGAAGCACCGGCUAACUACGUG
This 466-nucleotide ribosomal RNA is filed under the name uncultured bacterium. RNAcentral's name for it is "partial 16S ribosomal RNA". It matches the Rfam family "Bacterial small subunit ribosomal RNA", at positions 28 to 507 of the family's 1533-position model. The record is from RNAcentral.